GCUGCAGGUCAGAGUGGACGAGUUCUACCCAAAAAACAUCCGCUUCACAUGGACAUUGGGAGGAGAGAAGGUGAAAACAGACGAACCGGACAUCCAAGACCACUCCAAGGAGACCUUCAGCACAGUCAGUGUCUGCUCUGUCCCGCUGUCUAAGGUCCAGGAGCCGGGGUUCAAGGCCUCAGUGGUCAUUGAGCACGAAUCUGUGGGAAAGCUGGAGAAGACGGUCACCGGUGACACCCCAGGUAUUGAUGGGCGCCCCCUGCUGUCGGACAUUGAAAUGCUCUGGUGUUCAAAGGUGGGUGAUCUCUGCACUCUGAGCUGCACCAUCUCCAAAUUCUUCCCCAGCAACAUUUCAGUCACCUGGCUGAGGGUAACUAAGAGAGGAAAUCAGCCUGUUACUGCAGGGUCACGCCAGUGGACGGCGACAGUGGACACACCCAGGCCAGAGAAGAAGAACAUGACCUAUGAGGUGACCUCUACAGUCACGUUUACUCCUAACAGUCUCAGUGAGUUGGAGGAGACAACGUACAUCUGUACGGUGGGACACGUGACCUUCCUGGACAAAACCACGGAGAAGAAGUCUGGCAAACUGGAGUUAACAGCUGACAAGUGUCGUCCCCGGCUCUCCAAUAUGCAGGUUCACUUCACUAAGCUCGGUCAGCCCUGCACUCUGACCUGCGUCGUGUCAAACUUCUACCCCAAAGAUAUCGAGGUGCUCUGGUUGAGGAGACACAAGAAAACACGGAUCACAGCUGAGACAGGGAGAGACUACUGGAGGCACAAUGUGACACAGAUUGGGCCAUCAGUGAAAGAUAACAGAUACGCGGUGAUGUCUCAGGCUGAAUUCACACCUCAGCACCUGAGUGAGCUGGAGGACAUGGAGUUCAUCUGUCAGGUGCGCCAUGAGGCUCAGACGCAGAACCCCAUCGAGAAGAGCUGCUCAGUAAUCUCAGGUCUGCUCUCCCGGCCCAUCGUGUCAGACAUUCAGCUCUCUGACUUUAAAGGACUUGGCCAGCCGUGCACCCUGUGCUGCUCCAUCCAGGACUUCUACCCCAAGGACAUCACAGUGACAUGGAGGCGGGAAGGCUGGAUAGGACCAGAUGUCACGGAUACAAUGUGUGACCCUAACAGAGGAGAACGGAGCUACAAUCUGGAGUCCAAGGCCACCUUCACACCCCACACUCUGAUGGACCUGGAGAAGGCACAGUACGUCUGUACGGUCAACCAUGAGACUCUGAAGGGGAAAGGCAUUGAGAAGAAGACUGGAGAGCUGACCUUACCAGGUCUUGUUCUGAAGCCCAAAGUCUCAGAUGUGCAGGUUCACUUCACCAAGUCUGGUCAGCCCUGCCAAAUGACCUGCAUCAUCUCUGACUUUUACCCCAAAGAGAUCACGGUGACCUGGGAGAAGAGACAGAACGGAAUAGGGAGAAGAGUCAAGGCAGGGUCAGAGGAGUGGACGGCCACGGUGUGUCAGUUCGGGCCAUCAGUAACAGAUACGGGGUAUUUACUACUAUCUCGUCUUGAGUUCACCCCUCAGCCCCUCAGUGACCUGGAGGGCAUGGAGUUUGUCUGCAAAGUGAAACACAUGAGCCUGGAGGAGGAGACCAUUGGAAGGAUCUGCUCAGAGACUCCAGAGAAGUGAGUUAAGGAUGGAGCUGCCAGUCGAGAGGAG
Molecule: non-coding RNA, 1672 nt
Organism: Polypterus senegalus (gray bichir)
Lineage: Eukaryota; Metazoa; Chordata; Cladistia; Polypteriformes; Polypteridae
Source: the annotation of a RefSeq genome assembly